RNAcentral lists this ribosomal RNA (487 nucleotides) under uncultured bacterium. RNAcentral's name for it is "bacterial SSU rRNA". It matches the Rfam family "Bacterial small subunit ribosomal RNA", at positions 28 to 507 of the family's 1533-position model. The record is from RNAcentral.
GAUGAACGCUAGCGGGAGGCUUAACACAUGCAAGUCGAGGGGCAGCAUAGGGUAGCAAUACUCUGAUGGCGACCGGCAAACGGGUGAGUGACGCGUAUGCAACCUACCCUGUACAGGGGGAUAACCCGGAGAAAUUCGGACUAAUAUCCCGUAAUAAUAUCCGGAGGCAUCUUUGGAUAUUUAAAGUUCCGACGGUACGGGAUGGGCAUGCGUAACAUUAGCUGGUUGGUAAGGUAACGGCUUACCAAGGCUAUGAUGUUUAGGGGUCCUGAGAGGGUGGUCCCCCACACUGGUACUGAGACACGGACCAGACUCCUACGGGAGGCAGCAGUGAGGAAUAUUGGUCAAUGGGCGCAAGCCUGAACCAGCCAUCCCGCGUGCAGGAAGACGGCCCUAUGGGUUGUAAACUGCUUUUCCAGGGAGAGAAACUUACGCACGUGUUGCGUGACUGACGGUACCCUGGGAAUAAGCAUCGGCUAACUCCGUG